Molecule: non-coding RNA, 367 nt
Organism: Arachis ipaensis
Lineage: Eukaryota; Viridiplantae; Streptophyta; Magnoliopsida; Fabales; Fabaceae
Source: RefSeq, a predicted model, not a curated record
UACAAAUUUUCAAUAGAAAUUUGAAGUAUCUUAUACAAGUUAUACGUAUCUUAGUUGUUUAGGGGAACAAGGGAAAGAAAUAGAAAGAAGAAACCCAUUCCCCAUUUCCAUCAUAUCAUAUUUAUACAUUCAAUUCAAUUUGAAGCCGCGUCUCGCCGUGUUAUCCUUAGGCCUUCGAUCCCGAAAGUAACGGAAUUAUUUUCCCAAAAUACCCCUCCGAAAUCCAAAUACCCAAUAUGUUGCAGAGACCCAGACGGCGCUGCGAGGGCACUGCCAUGGGAGCCAUCGUUCUCGAUCUCCGACCCGGUCUCGGAAUCGGACCCUUCUCUCUUGGGAUGCCGAUAAGUGAAGCAUUUGCUCAGAUAGA